Carassius gibelio (silver crucian carp) is the source of this 758-nucleotide long non-coding RNA. RefSeq lists it as uncharacterized. The record is from RefSeq and is a predicted model, not a curated record. The transcript is spliced from 3 exons. NCBI's taxonomy places the organism in Eukaryota, Metazoa, Chordata, Actinopteri, Cypriniformes, Cyprinidae.
GAGGAGAGCGAGACCGCGCACAUCAACGCGCUUCAAAAUCGUUGGUAGCGCUACAUAGGAUUUGUUCGAGAAUGUCUCCAAAUAAGUGCAUUUUUGAAUGUGAGGGAAAGUUUACUGUGUUCAGCCUCCCCAAGAACCCAGCAUUACAUGAACGGUGGAUGCAGUUUGUUUUUCCGGGGCAGGAGUGUAUCAAGUGCGUUUGUGUUCUGGUCUUUUGAGUGACGGAUGUUUUAUAAACAAGGCCCAAGUCGACGCUGGAUUUGCACAUCGUUUGCUAUUAAAACAUGGAGCCGUCCCUGUGAUAAAAGACCCCAUUCAUGCUUUGCCAUCUGUUAAAUUUUGGUCUGUUCCUCAUUGAAAGUGUCAUGUGAUUUGGAGUGCAGCAACACAAGGCGACUAUUGUAAGUGUUUUUUGGUGUUUUGUUGGAGCUUAACAUAUGAAUUGCUUUGUGAUGAUUCGUCAAUAAUUCUCCCAUAUUUGUUCCACAGAAAUGAUAAUCUCUUCAUAUUCACACACAAGAUGACAUGACAUGGAUUUUAUGAGGUUAGACAAAGGAAAAGAGUUGUGAUGUCAUGAUGACUUUUAUACAAUAAUAUGCUCAUAUUCCUACACAAGAUGAUGUUCACAGCAUCUGCGUUCAAGUCAAAAAGAAGAUGAAUUUCAUCUUUUUCCCCACCUAUGUAUUUAUUAUAAAUACAUGUAUACACAGGCUACAAGUCAUGAAUAUGGAAUAUUACUGAUAAAGAGUAUGUACAAA